This 253-nucleotide ribosomal RNA is filed under the name uncultured bacterium. Its description in RNAcentral is "partial 16S ribosomal RNA". It matches the Rfam family "Bacterial small subunit ribosomal RNA", at positions 524 to 776 of the family's 1533-position model. The record is from RNAcentral.
UACAGGGGGUGCAAACGUUGCUCGGAAUCAUUGGGCGUAAAGCGCACGUAGGCGGUUUGUUAAGUCGGGUGUGAAAGCCCAGGGCUCAACCCUGGAAGUGCACUCGAAACUGGCAGGCUUGAAUAUGGAAGAGGGUCGCGGAAUUCCCGGUGUAGAGGUGAAAUUCGUAGAUAUCGGGAGGAACACCAGUGGCGAAGGCGGCGACCUGGGCCAAUAUUGACGCUGAGGUGCGAAAGCGUGGGGAGCAAACAGG